RNAcentral lists this long non-coding RNA (302 nucleotides) under Panax ginseng (ginseng). Its description in RNAcentral is "long non-coding RNA (PGIN_LNC003306)". Lineage: Eukaryota; Viridiplantae; Streptophyta; Magnoliopsida; Apiales; Araliaceae. The record is from RNAcentral.
AGCACUCAUUGUUGUUUAAAAUAAGAGGUAAACACAACAAACUUGUAUCAAAAUGAACCAUGCAAUUCUUAAUCAUAAUAUUAAACAAUAACAUUCGAGAACAAAAAGAAGCCCCUUAAUGGCCCAAAUAAAAAACAUCAGUUGGUAACAUAGUUAGACAAUUUUGCAUAAGCUGCAAAAAUCAAGAACUUUUGAGCUUAAGAGAGUAUUUCCUUCUAAAAAUGAUACAGAAAGAAAAUCUCAUGCACUUAUUUCCCUGUUUUAAUCCUGCAAGCCUUUGUCACAAUGGUGUUGCAAGUCCU